CAGCUCUUUGCUCCGAUCAUCUAGAUGCUCAUUUUCAGCUAGCUUCAAAAACAUCUUCAUCUUCAUCAAUUGGUUGGCCUCCUUAUGUUUUUUGGCUAUUUUUCCAAUUGUUCCAACUCCUGCUCCUUAAAUUGCUUGAAUUCAUUCCACUUUUCAUUAACGACUUCCAAGCUUGAACCCUUCCCUUUUUCUUUAGCUGCAUCCCUUCCUAUGGGAUGAACACUAAAUCCUACAGAGUUUGAGUCACUUGCAUCAUUAUAGUGUACUCUCUUAGAUCCAUUGCUUCCAGACCCAAUAUUUCCCCUUACCUGACUACCAUAACGUGGUUGAUCACGGACAACAAGCCAUUCUGACAUAAAAUUGAAAUGCCCAUUUUUACCACUUGAAUAUAUUUUAUGUGCUUUUGCCGAUAAAUCAUUCUCCGCCACCCGU
This is a long non-coding RNA of Arabidopsis thaliana (thale cress), 432 nucleotides long. RefSeq annotates it as other RNA. The record is from RefSeq. NCBI's taxonomy places the organism in Eukaryota, Viridiplantae, Streptophyta, Magnoliopsida, Brassicales, Brassicaceae. The transcript has a single exon.